RNAcentral lists this ribosomal RNA (504 nucleotides) under uncultured bacterium. RNAcentral's name for it is "bacterial SSU rRNA". It matches the Rfam family "Bacterial small subunit ribosomal RNA", at positions 15 to 518 of the family's 1533-position model. The record is from RNAcentral.
GAUUCUGGCUCAGGAUGAACGCUGGCGGCGUGCCUAAUACAUGCAAGUCGAGCGAGAAUCAGUGAAGCAGAGAUUCGUCAAAGCGGAUCUGAGGAAAGCGGCGGACGGGUGAGUAACGCGUAGGCAACCUGCCCUUAGCAGAGGGAUAGCCAUUGGAAACGAUGAUUAAAACCUCAUAAUGCUGUUUUUACACAUGUAGAGACAGCCAAAGAUUUAUCGGCUAAGGAUGGGCCUGCGUCUGAUUAACUAGUUGGUGAGGUAACGGCUCACCAAGGUGACGAUCAGUAGCCGACCUGAGAGGGUGAUCGGCCACAUUGGAACUGAGACACGGUCCAAACUUCUACGGAAGGCAGCAGUAAGGAAUCUUGCACAAUGGGGGAAACCCUGAUGCAGCAACGCCGCGUGAACGAUGAAGGCCUUAGGGUUGUAAAGUUCUGAUCUGUGGGAAGAAGAAGUGACGGUACCACAGGAGAAAGCCCCGGCUAAAUACGUGCCAGCCGCCGC